AAUAAAUGUUGUACAGGAAACCAACGCACUAAUAGCUAACCAAUGAAACUACGCAAUGAAUUUCAGGAAAAUUACAAUACGGAAGAUGAAAAUAGGAGUUCAAGUGACAGGGCAAAACAUCUUCUAACAUUUGUAGUCGUCUCUACCAGUGCCAUGAUAAGGAGGUUCUUCUCUCUGAAAACUAUUUGCAUAAUCUGGAUAUCUGUGACCUUGCCGCUGAUAAUAAGAAAGAGAAUCCAUUCCAACACCUGGGGGAACAUCACCAUGGCUAAGGCUUCCAACCGGAUAAGAACUUUCCGUUCGAAUACGAGUGUACCCUCUAGGAUCUGAAUAAUUCAGAUCAUCUCCCAACAUAAAGAAAGAGCGCUUCUGUCCAGGUAAUGCUUGAGAAUAAUCCCAAUUCGCCAUGCCUGAACUCAAUCUUGCUUGCAUUUGCUUCUGUAGAGCCCGCUCUGCUAAGCGUUGCUCAAGCUCAGCUGUUCUAGAGGAUCUUAUAUCACCCAAUAUUUGAUCGUCAAUACGUAUGGCAGGAGUUUUGCUGUUUCUCAGUUCAACUUGCUUUGCAGGACCUUGACUUGACUGUUUUUGUUUUGAAACUUCUUUACCUGUAGGCUUGGAGACUUUCUUAUGGGCUUUACCCUUUUGCAUAGGUUUUGCAAGGGAUAACUUUACAUUUACCUGAGAUCCCUUGUCACUCAAUCUCUCAUGGUUGAACAAUUCUAUGCAUGUAAGAGCAGCUUCACGGGUUUUAAAAUUAACAAAGGCAAAGUCUUUUCUCCUUGAAGAAGGUAGAUUUCGGGAAAGAACAACAUUUUCA
Molecule: unclassified non-coding RNA, 817 nt
Filed under: Hevea brasiliensis (rubber tree)
Lineage: Eukaryota; Viridiplantae; Streptophyta; Magnoliopsida; Malpighiales; Euphorbiaceae
Source: RNAcentral